CCCUGACAUGUUUGCAUAUUUGUAGGUAUCAUUCAUCCAGAAUCUGGUGUUCUGUGUGGAGAGAGUUUAUCGUGUGCCAGACUUUGGCAUGUUGGAGCGGGGAAGCAAAUAUAACAAUGGAAGCACAGAACUGCAUUCCAGCUCGCUGGGACUAGCCAAAGCAGCUCUGGAAGCCAUCAAUGGAUUCAACUUGUUUGGAAAUCAGGGAUGCUCCUGGUCAGUGAUUUUUGUGGAUCUGGAUGCUCAUAACAGAAACAGACAGACUCUGUGCUCUCUCCUGCCGAGGAAGUUCCCAUAACACAGAUUCGACCCUCUUGUCCUGCAUCAGCUACACAGUAUUCGCCGUGGAUGAUGAUGCUCUAUUCCCAGACUCUGGACAAGAUAGUCUGAAAGCUGAAGGGCAAGUAUGGUUUCUUAUGGGACGGCUAUAGAACAGCCGAUGAGGACAAAAACCGAAGGCACUACAAACCUGCCGAGAUGAAGCUCUUUGAUGGGAUCAAGUGCGAGUUUCCUUUGUUUUUCAUCUAUGUGAUUAUUGAUGGUGUGUUUAGGGGAAAUCCUGCUCAAGUUAAAGAGUUCCAGGAACUGCUAGAAGCUGUCAUCUUCCUGUCCUUUGAGGGCCACGCUGUUAUUCCCAAGUAUCACUAUGCGCCGGCAGACUUUGUAGAGGCUGAACAGAAGAAUCAUGGCACCCAGAAGCGCUUCCCCAGAAACUCAGGGCAUGAUGGGAUGCGUUCCUCGGGGGAAAGGCCCUCUAUAACAUCGCUAAGCUGCUGGUGGAUGGUUUGAUCAGCCCAAAAGACAUUGACCCCAUCCAUCGCUAUGUGCCACGACAGGAUCAGAGGAGCGUCAGCAAGUGAAACUCCAAUCAGGGUCCCAUUGAGAACGAUGUGGUCAUUCAUGUGACCCUGAUAGCAGAAAGUCAAAGAUUGCAGGUCUUCCUCAACACCAUGGCAUCUAAACUCAGACCCCACAGCAGGUGGAGCCCAUUCAGAUCUGGCCCCAGAAAGGGCUGGUUAAGGUAUGACUGUUCAGUCAAUCAAACUGACCAACAGACAAAUCUUCCAGACUGAUCAAUUUCAGUGACAGUCGCUCCAUUAGACCACUGGUCAAUUUGGGCCGACUGGCACAUCAGUCAUGUCAGCCGGUGAAUUAUUUUUGCAUGCUCUUAA
Long non-coding RNA from Carassius gibelio (silver crucian carp), 1172 nucleotides. RefSeq lists it as uncharacterized. The record is from RefSeq and is a predicted model, not a curated record. The transcript is spliced from 10 exons. Lineage: Eukaryota; Metazoa; Chordata; Actinopteri; Cypriniformes; Cyprinidae.